CCUACGGGUGGCAGCAGUGAGGAAUAUUGGUCAAUGGACGAGAGUCUGAACCAGCCAAGUAGCGUGAAGGAUGACUGCCCUAUGGGUUGUAAACUUCUUUUAUAUGGGAAUAAAAUGUUCCACGUGUGGGAUUUUGUAUGUACCAUAUGAAUAAGGAUCGGCUAACUCCGUGCCAGCAGCCGCGGUAAUACGGAGGAUCCGAGCGUUAUCCGGAUUUAUUGGGUUUAAAGGGAGCGUAGGUGGAUUGUUAAGUCAGUUGUGAAAGUUUGCGGCUCAACCGUAAAAUUGCAGUUGAAACUGGCAGUCGUGAGUACAGUAGAGGUGGGCGGAAUUCGUGGUGUAGCGGUGAAAUGCUUAGAUAUCACGAAGAACUCCGAUUGAGAAGGCAGCUCACUGGACUGCAACUGACACUGAGGCUCGAAAGUGUGGGUAUCAAACAGGAUUAGAGACCCUAGUAGUC
RNAcentral lists this ribosomal RNA (460 nucleotides) under uncultured bacterium. RNAcentral's name for it is "partial 16S ribosomal RNA". It matches the Rfam family "Bacterial small subunit ribosomal RNA", at positions 338 to 795 of the family's 1533-position model. The record is from RNAcentral.